CAGAGGUGGCAAGCGUUGUUCGGAAUUACUGGGCGUAAAGGGCGCGUAGGCGGCCUUGUCAGUCAGACGUGAAAUCCCCAGGCUUAACCUGGGAACUGCGUCUGAUACUACAAGGCUUGAGUGCGGGAGAGGGAUGUGGAAUUCCAGGUGUAGCGGUGAAAUGCGUAGAUAUCUGGAGGAACACCGGUGGCGAAGGCGGCAUCCUGGACCGACACUGACGCUGAGGCGCGAAAGCUAGGGGAGCAAACGGGAUUAGAUACCCCGGUAGUCCUAGCCCUAAACGAUGAGUGCUUGGUGUGGCGGGUAUCGAUCCCUGCCGUGCCGAAGCUAACGCAUUAAGCACUCCGCCUGGGGAGUACGGUCGCAAGGCUG
This 372-nucleotide ribosomal RNA is filed under the name uncultured organism. RNAcentral describes it as "bacterial SSU rRNA". It matches the Rfam family "Bacterial small subunit ribosomal RNA", at positions 526 to 896 of the family's 1533-position model. The record is from RNAcentral.